This 497-nucleotide ribosomal RNA is filed under the name uncultured bacterium. RNAcentral describes it as "partial 16S ribosomal RNA". It matches the Rfam family "Bacterial small subunit ribosomal RNA", at positions 28 to 507 of the family's 1533-position model. The record is from RNAcentral.
GAUGAACGCUGGCGGCGUGCCUAAUACAUGCAAGUCGAGCGAACAGACGAGGAGCUUGCUCCUCUGACGUUAUCGGCGGACGGGUGAGUAACACGUGUAUAACCUACCUAUCAGACUGGGAUAACUUCGGGAAACCGGAUCUAAUACCGGAUAAUAUAUUGAACCGCAUUGUUCCAUCGUUAAAUUCGGUUUUUCUUUCCCUUAUAGCUUGAUCCGCGCCGCAUUAGCUAGUUGGUAAGGUAACUGCUUACCAAGGCUACGAUGCGUAGCCGACCUGAGAGGGAGAUCGGCCACACGGGAACUGAGAAACGGUACAGACACCUACGGGAGGAAGCAGUAGGGAAUCUUCCGCAAUGGGGGAAAGCCUGACGGAGCAAAGCCGCGUGAGGGAUGAAGGUGUUCGGAUCGUAAAACUCUGUUAUUAGGGAAGAACAAAUGUGUAAGUAACUAUGCACGUAUUGACGGUACCUAAUCAGAAAGCCACGGCUAACUACGUG